GACGAACGCUGGCGGCGUGCCUAAUACAUGCAAGUUGAGCGCUGAAGGUUGGUACUUGUACCGACUGGAUGAGCAGCGAACGGGUGAGUAACGCGUGGGGAAUCUGCCUUUGAGCGGGGGACAACAUUUGGAAACGAAUGCUAAUACCGCAUAAAAACUUUAAACACAAGUUUUAAGUUUGAAAGAUGCAAUUGCAUCACUCAAAGAUGAUCCCGCGUUGUAUUAGCUAGUUGGUGAGGUAAAGGCUCACCAAGGCGAUGAUACAUAGCCGACCUGAGAGGGUGGUCGGCCACAUUGGGACUGAGACACGGCCCAAACUCCUACGGGAGGUAGCAGUAGGGAAUCUUCGGCAAUGGACGAAAGUCUGACCGAGCAACGCCGCGUGAGUGAAGAAGGUUUUCGGAUCGUAAAACUCUGUUGGUAGAGAAGAACGUUGGUGAGAGUGGAAAGCUCAUCAAGUGACGGUAACUACCCAGAAAGGGACGGCUAACUACGUG
Molecule: ribosomal RNA, 497 nt
Filed under: uncultured bacterium
Lineage: Bacteria
Description: partial 16S ribosomal RNA
Rfam family: Bacterial small subunit ribosomal RNA
Source: RNAcentral